Molecule: ribosomal RNA, 583 nt
Filed under: Endochytrium ramosum
Lineage: Eukaryota; Fungi; Chytridiomycota; Chytridiomycetes; Cladochytriales; Endochytriaceae
Description: eukaryotic LSU rRNA
Rfam family: Eukaryotic large subunit ribosomal RNA
Source: RNAcentral
CGAAUUGUAGUUUAGAGAAGCGUUUUCUGGGGCAGCUCGGGCACAAGUCCUUUGGAAUGAGGCAUCAUAGAGGGUGAGAAUCCCGUCUGUGGCCCGAUGUCUGCUCCUUUGUGAUACGCUUUCGAAGAGUCGGGUUGUUUGGGAAUGCAGCCCAAAAUGGGUGGUAAAUACCAUCUAAAGCUAAAUAUUGGCGAGAGACCGAUAGCGAACAAGUACCGUGAGGGAAAGAUGAAAAGAACUUUGAAAAGAGAGUUAAACAGUACGUGAAAUUGCCAAAAGGGAAACGCUUGAAACCAGUGUUGCUCCCAGUAAUCAGCCGUUCUUCGAACGGUGCACUUACUGGAUGCAGGUCAACAUCAGUUUGUUUUGCAGUAAAAAGCCUCGUGGAGUUCUUCGGAGCUACGCGUUGUCAUGCUGUGAGGCAGACUGAGGUUACCUGGUUGAUUCUGCCAGUAGUCAUAUGCUUGUCUCAAAGAUUAAGCCAUGCAUGUCUAAGUAUAAACAUUUGUACUGUGAAACUGCGAAUGGCUCAUUAAAUCAGUUAUAGUUUAUUUGAUAGUACCUUGCUACUUGGAUAACCGUG